This 1050-nucleotide ribosomal RNA is filed under the name Triticum aestivum (bread wheat). RNAcentral's name for it is "partial small subunit ribosomal RNA". The record is from RNAcentral. Lineage: Eukaryota; Viridiplantae; Streptophyta; Magnoliopsida; Poales; Poaceae.
AUGGGAUCUCUCCCCGUCCCGAGUGUGCAGGCCUUGGUGGAGGCCACCGGCGGAGACGAUGUGCCGCCGAGGUAUCUCCGGCCAGAUGCGGCAGAGGAAGCGGUCACCGGUGACGGCGACGGCGAGGCUCAGAUCCCCAUCAUCGACCACCGAAGGCUGCUGCUGGAGCUGGACCAUGGCGGCGAGGAGUCUGCACGCCUCCACAGAGCCUGCCAGGACUGGGGCUUCUUCCAGUUAGUUAACCACAGUGUCCCUGACGAUGUGGUCGAGAGCAUGAAGGUCAACAUCCAGCAAUUCUUCCAGCUACCCGCAGAGACGAAGAAGCGAUUCGCUCAGGAGCGAGGGCAGCUCGAAGGCUACGGUCAACUAUUCGUCGUCUCCGAGGAUCAGAAGCUCGACUGGGCUGACAUGCUCUUCCUCUACGCACAGCCACCCGAGAGGAGGAAGACCAAGUUCUGGCCUGACCAGCCUGCUACCUUCAGAUCGACGCUGGAUAGAUAUUCUGGUGCGGUGAAGGAUGUAUCAGACUCCCUUUUGGCUACGAUGGCGAAGAACUUGGGACUGAAACGAGAAACGAUCGCUGACAAAUGCAUCCGUGGAAUGCAGUCUUUCAGAAUGAACUACUACCCCCCAUGCGCCCAAGCAGAGAGAGUCGUUGGCUUGUCCCCGCACUCUGAUGCUAAUCUGCUGACCCUUGUCCUCCAAGUGAACCAUGUCCAGGGCCUGCAGAUCAAGAGGAACGGCAGCUGGCUUCCCGUCAAGCCUGUCCCGGGCGCUUUCAUCGUCAACAUCGGAGAUAUGCUUGAGGUCUUCACGAACGGGAGGUACAGGAGCAUCGAGCACCGGGCAGUCGUCGACCCCAAGGAAGAGCGGCUGUCGGUCGCGGCGUUCCACUUCCCAGACAUGGACGCCAUGAUAGGUCCUCUGAAGGAGCUGACCGCACAAGAAGACGAUGCCUACAAGACGUUGGACCUCGAGAGCUUCAUGAAGAUCUUCUUCGCGACGAAGCUCGAGGGGAAGAGCUUCUUAGACCGGAUGAAGCUGAACUAG